This 319-nucleotide long non-coding RNA is filed under the name Solanum tuberosum (potato). Its description in RNAcentral is "long non-coding RNA (STUB_LNC000792)". The record is from RNAcentral. Lineage: Eukaryota; Viridiplantae; Streptophyta; Magnoliopsida; Solanales; Solanaceae.
UCCGAUUUAACAACAGUGUCAUCAUAUUGAAUCAUCACUUGAAUCUGAAUGGGAAAUUCAGUAGAGAAAACAAUAAAGAGUUAAAAUAUGAAACUUAUAGCAGCACAUGCUGCUACCAUCAGUGCAUUUCCUAUAAAAAUGAAAUGUCCAAAAUAACAUUGAUACAUAGCUUAUAAUUUUAUAGCUCAAAGAAAUGAUAGAAUUUACUCAUACAAAUGGAGAAAUAGAAUAUGUCUCUUAUAGUCAGCAGAGGGAAUCAUAUCAUUCGUAUCAUUCCUGACUCAAUCCAAAUCGAAGGCAUAUUUUCAUGCGGCCUGCA